RNAcentral lists this unclassified non-coding RNA (279 nucleotides) under Hevea brasiliensis (rubber tree). Lineage: Eukaryota; Viridiplantae; Streptophyta; Magnoliopsida; Malpighiales; Euphorbiaceae. The record is from RNAcentral.
UUAAAAUUCCUUCAUUAAGGGACAGUUACCCAAUUUGCAGUAGCAGCUUCUGUAGGUCUUCCUUGAGAGGCAUCUGAAGAGAUUUCUACACACCAAGCAUAAUUUUAUACGCCUUAAUAGGUUUGAGGAGUAUUAUACAUAAACUCUUUCCAUAACUUCCAUCAUCAUUAGCCAGAGUAGUUUCUACAAAGAUAGUUUGUGUUAUAUGCUUAUAUUGUUUAGGUUGUAACGCCAGGUAUUCCUCUUCAUCUUGUUGGUCAUAUAUAUUAAAAAAAAAAA